GGGAGCCGGAUGAGCUGAGAGGUUCACGUCCGGUUCUGGGAGAGCGCGGCGGUGCAACUCCGC
Molecule: non-coding RNA, 63 nt
Filed under: Rhizobiales bacterium GAS113
Lineage: Bacteria; Pseudomonadati; Pseudomonadota; Alphaproteobacteria; Hyphomicrobiales
Source: RNAcentral